AAAUUUCUGCAACAGUCAGACGUUGGCUGGAUUUAAUUUCCCGCAAACACCCGUCGGCUGGUUUGCAUAUUCUGAGGAAAAAUGUGAGGAGGGAACGAGCAGUGCUGGCAAACCAAAGGCCUCCACCAGAUGCUCCAUCCAGAACGGAAAUUUGACUUUCAGUCGUCCAGAGAUCUUCACCUGCGGCCUAACGCUCAAUGACCUAAAACAAAAUCUGAGCAGCCCGG
Molecule: long non-coding RNA, 227 nt
Organism: Scomber japonicus (chub mackerel)
Lineage: Eukaryota; Metazoa; Chordata; Actinopteri; Scombriformes; Scombridae
Exons: 3
Source: RefSeq, a predicted model, not a curated record